Molecule: ribosomal RNA, 748 nt
Filed under: uncultured marine stramenopile
Lineage: Eukaryota
Description: SSU rRNA
Rfam family: Eukaryotic small subunit ribosomal RNA
Source: RNAcentral
CAUCCAGGAAGGCAGCAGGCGCGUAAAUUACCCAUCCUGAUACGGGGAGGUAGUGACAAUAAAUAACAAUACGGGGCCCAUCGGGUCUUGUAAUUGGAAUGAGUACAAUCUAAAUCCCUUAACGAGGAUCAAUUGGAGGGCAAGUCUGGUGCCAGCAGCCGCGGUAAUUCCAGCUCCAAUAGCGUAUAUUAAAGUUGUUGCAGUUAAAAAGCUCGUAGUUGGAUUUCUGGUAGGAGUGACCGUUCCGGACUUGAUUGUCCGUGUAUUGUGUUGUCUCCAGCCAUCCUCGUGGAGAACUUUUCCAGCAUUAACUUGUUGGGAUUAGGACCCACGUCGUUUACUGUGAAAAAAUUAGAGUGUUUAAAGCAGGCAAUCGCUUGAAUACAUUAGCAUGGAAUAAUAAGAUAGGACUUUGGUACUAUUUUGUUGGUUUGCAUACCAAAUUAAUGAUCAACAGGAACAGUUGAGGAUAUUCGUAUGAACAUGUCAGAGGUGAAAUUCUUGGAUUUUGAUCAGACGAACUACUGCGAAAGCAUUUAUCAAGGAUGUUUUCAUUAAUCAAGAACGAAAGUUAGGGGAUCGAAGAUGAUUAGAUACCAUCGUAGUCUUAACCAUAAACUAUGCCGACUAGGGAUUGGCGGACGUUGUUUAAUUGACUCCGCCAGCACCUCAUGAGAAAUCAAAGUCUUUGGGUUCCGGGGGGAGUAUUGGUCCCAAGGCUGAAACUUAAAGGAAUUGACGGAAGGCC